CCUACGGGAGGCAGCAGUAGGGAAUCUUCCACAAUGGGCGAAAGCCUGAUGGAGCAACGCCGCGUGAGUGAUGAAGGCCUUCGGGUUGUAAAACUCUGUCAUUCGGGACGAACCGGAGUCUGAGGAAAUGCAGACUCUCUGACGGUACCGGAGGAGGAAGCCCCGGCUAACUACGUGCCAGCAGCCGCGGUAAUACGUAGGGGGCAAGCGUUGUCCGGAUUCACUGGGCGUAAAGCGCGCGCAGGCGGUGAUGUAAGUCUGAGGUGAAAACCCGAAGCUCAACUUCGGGACUGCCUUGGAUACUGCGUCACUUGAGGAUAGGAGAGGCAAGGGGAAUUCCACGUGUAGCGGUGAAAUGCGUAGAGAUGUGGAGGAACACCUGUGGCGAAGGCGCCUUGCUGGCCUAUUUCUGACGCUGAGGCGCGAAAGCGUGGGGAGCAAACAGGAUUAGAUACCCUGGUAGUCCACGCUGUAAACGAUGAGUGCUAGGUGUAGGUGGGCUCAUACCCAUCUGUGCCGAAGCUAACGCAUUAAGCCNCNCCGCCGNGGGAGGUACGGUCGCGACGACGUAGUAAACGUUAAAGGUAAGUUAGUACGGACGUUGAGACGCGGCCGACGGACGACGACGAGGGAGGUAGG
RNAcentral lists this ribosomal RNA (639 nucleotides) under uncultured bacterium. Its description in RNAcentral is "bacterial SSU rRNA". The stretch from base 1 to 545 matches the Rfam family "Bacterial small subunit ribosomal RNA", at positions 338 to 873 of the family's 1533-position model. The record is from RNAcentral.